AUUUUUUAAGGUUGUAAAAUUUGAGUCCUCAGUAAACCAGAGGAGAGAAGAAUGAAGAAAUCCUUGAGAGUUUUACUGGUGAUCCUGUGGCUUCGAUUAAGCUGUGUGAGGAGCCUGGAGGUGGAGCAGAAUCCUGAAUCCCUCAGUGUUCCAGAGGGAGCCACUGCCCCUCUCAACUGCACUUACAGUGACCGUGCUUCUCAGUCCUUCCUGUGGUACAGGCAGUAUUCUGGGAAAGGCCCUGAGUUGCUGAUGUCCACAUACUCCAAUGGUGACAAAGUAGAAGGAAGAUUUACAGUGCAGCUCAAUAAAGCCAGCCUGUAUGUUUCCCUGCUCAUCAGAGACUCCCAGCCCAGAGACUCAGCCACAUACCUCUGUGCAAUUCGGGAAGGAAGAAACAAGUUCUGUAAAAGUUUUGAUAUCACAUCUGUGAAACGAGGAGGAAACAGCUCUGUUGGAUCGUCGAUCCCACCGCUGGCCUCCAGAGGGCGAUGUUGCACACAGGAGACAUCUGUUAUAGAGGUGGAUCCUAUUCACCCUCUGAGCCCCUCCUCCCUGCAGGUGGCUGAUGCAUCCUCACUGAUGUCUGUGUAG
Molecule: non-coding RNA, 594 nt
Organism: Galeopterus variegatus (Sunda flying lemur)
Lineage: Eukaryota; Metazoa; Chordata; Mammalia; Dermoptera; Cynocephalidae
Source: the annotation of a RefSeq genome assembly